This 492-nucleotide ribosomal RNA is filed under the name uncultured bacterium. Its description in RNAcentral is "partial 16S ribosomal RNA". It matches the Rfam family "Bacterial small subunit ribosomal RNA", at positions 29 to 507 of the family's 1533-position model. The record is from RNAcentral.
AGUGAACGCUGGCGGUAGGCCUAACACAUGCAAGUCGAACGGCAGCACAGUAAGAGCUUGCUCUUACGGGUGGCGAGUGGCGGACGGGUGAGGAAUACAUCGGAAUCUACUUUUUCGUGGGGGAUAACGUAGGGAAACUUACGCUAAUACCGCAUACGACCUACGGGUGAAAGCAGGGGAUCUUCGGACCUUGCGCGAUUGAAUGAGCCGAUGCCGGAUUAGCUAGUUGGCGGGGUAAAGGCCCACCAAGGCGACGAUCCGUAGCUGGUCUGAGAGGAUGAUCAGCCACACUGGAACUGAGACACGGUCCAGACUCCUACGGGAGGCAGCAGUGGGGAAUAUUGGACAAUGGGCGCAAGCCUGAUCCAGCCAUACCGCGUGGGUGAAGAAGGCCUUCGGGUUGUAAAGCCCUUUUGUUGGGAAAGAAAAGCAGCAGGUUAAUACCCCGCUGUUCUGACGGUACCUAAAGAAUAAGCACCGGCUAACUUCGUG